CAACCCUCAAGCACUGCUUGGUGUUGGGGCACUGCUUCUGACGAAGCAGGCCCUGAAAUCUAGUGGCGAGCUCGCCAGGACCCCGAGCGCAGUAGUUAAACCCUCGCUCUGGAAGGCCCUGGCGGUGCCCUGCCGUUAAACCCCCAACUUCUGAAA
Molecule: unclassified non-coding RNA, 156 nt
Filed under: uncultured Phomopsis
Lineage: Eukaryota; Fungi; Ascomycota; Sordariomycetes; Diaporthales; Cytosporaceae
Description: sequence contains ITS2
Source: RNAcentral